RNAcentral lists this unclassified non-coding RNA (177 nucleotides) under uncultured Leotiomycetes. RNAcentral's name for it is "sequence contains ITS1". The record is from RNAcentral. Lineage: Eukaryota; Fungi; Ascomycota; Leotiomycetes.
CUGAGUAUUUAGUGAUGUUGAUCUAAACAAUCACAUCCUAAGUCUCCACCCUUUGUUUACAUAUCUUUGUUGCUUUGACAGGCCCGUCUUUGGACCACCGGCUUCUGCUGGUCAGUGCCUGCCAGAGGAUCUUAAAACUCUUUAUAAUUUAUUGUCUGAGUAACUAUAUAAUAGUUA